AGUGAACGCUGGCGGUAGGCCUAACACAUGCAAGUCGAACGGCAGCACAGUAAGGGCUUGCUCUUACGGGUGGCGAGUGGCGGACGGGUGAGGAAUACAUCGGAAUCUACUUUUUCGUGGGGGAUAACGUAGGGAAACUUACGCUAAUACCGCAUACGACCUACGGGUGAAAGCAGGGGAUCUUCGGACCUUGCGCGAUUGAAUGAGCCGAUGUCGGAUUAGCUAGUUGGCGGGGUAAAGGCCCACCAAGGCGACGAUCCGUAGCUGGUCUGAGAGGAUGAUCAGCCACACUGGAACUGAGACACGGUCCAGACUCCUACGGGAGGCAGCAGUGGGGAAUAUUGGACAAUGGGCGCAGGCCUGAUCCAGCCAUACCGCGUGGGUGAAGAAGGCCUUCGGGUUGUAAAGCCCUUUUGUUGGGAAAGAAAAGCAGCAGGUUAAUACCCCGCUGUUCUGACGGUACCCAAAGAACAAGCACCGGCUAACUUCGUG
This 492-nucleotide ribosomal RNA is filed under the name uncultured bacterium. RNAcentral describes it as "partial 16S ribosomal RNA". It matches the Rfam family "Bacterial small subunit ribosomal RNA", at positions 29 to 507 of the family's 1533-position model. The record is from RNAcentral.